RNAcentral lists this ribosomal RNA (307 nucleotides) under uncultured bacterium. Its description in RNAcentral is "bacterial SSU rRNA". It matches the Rfam family "Bacterial small subunit ribosomal RNA", at positions 28 to 334 of the family's 1533-position model. The record is from RNAcentral.
GAUGAACGCUGGCGGCGUGCUUAACACAUGCAAGUCGAACGGAUGCAAGGGGCUUGCUCCUUGCAUUAGUGGCGGACGGGUGAGUAACGCGUGAGCAAUCUGCCCAUAUCAGGGGGAUAACAGUUAGAAAUGACUGCUAAUACCGCAUAAGACCACGGGAAGGCAUCUUCUUGGGGUAAAAGAUUUAUCGGAUAUGGAUGAGCUCGCGUCCCAUUAGGCAGUUGGUGAGGUAACGGCCCACCAAACCUACGAUGGGUAGCCGACCUCAGAGGGUGAUCGGCCACAUUGGAACUGAGACACGGUCCAA